Molecule: ribosomal RNA, 32 nt
Filed under: Phaseolus microcarpus
Lineage: Eukaryota; Viridiplantae; Streptophyta; Magnoliopsida; Fabales; Fabaceae
Also listed under: 1 other name
Description: partial small subunit ribosomal RNA
Source: RNAcentral
GUUUCCGUAGGUGACCUGCGGAAGGAUCAUUG